RNAcentral lists this ribosomal RNA (402 nucleotides) under uncultured bacterium. RNAcentral describes it as "bacterial SSU rRNA". It matches the Rfam family "Bacterial small subunit ribosomal RNA", at positions 356 to 773 of the family's 1533-position model. The record is from RNAcentral.
GGGGAAUCUUGCGCAAUGGGCGAAAGCCUGACGCAGCAACGCCGCGUGAACGAAGAAGGCCUUCGGGUCGUAAAGUUCUGUCAGGGGGGACGAAGUUUUGACGGUACCCCCGGAGGAAGCCCCGGCUAACUACGUGCCAGCAGCCGCGGUAACACGUAGGGGGCAAGCGUUGUCCGGAAUUACUGGGCGUAAAGGGCGUGUAGGCGGCCUUUCAAGUCAGGUGUGAAAUUCCAGGGCUCAACCCUGGGCGUGCACUUGAAACUGGGGGGCUUGAGUGCAGGAGAGGAAAGUGGAAUUCCCAGUGUAGCGGUGAAAUGCGUAGAUAUUGGGAGGAACACCAGUGGCGAAGGCGACGUUCUGGCCUGUAACUGACGCUGAGGCGCGAAAGCUAGGGGAGCAAAC